CGGCUUAAUAAAUAGAGAGGAGAGGCAGAGAGAGAGGAGGGGGAGAGGGUGGAUGGUUUGCAUAGCGGAGCAAUCCCAAAGAGGGUCCCAAAAAGGGGGCGCGGCGGCGGCGGCGGUGGGGCGAGGAGGCCUAGCGGCGGUACCGUCGGCGUCGGCGUCGGCGGCGGCUGGUCCGAUGCUUAAACGACGUCUUCGAUAGGGAACUACGGUUCUGACUUCGGUAGCUGCGGGGCCGCCGCUUCCUCUUCCGCAGGCCUCCCGACCCGCCGUUCGACUUACCACACCGCCGGUGUGCCUUGGGUGCCCGCAGGCUCGUCACCCGUUUAGGUGUCCUAAUGUCGCUACGUUCGUACAUAAUACCGCGGAUGGGACGACGAAUGAUAACGCGUCCAACCCCACUAAUAAGGUACAUGAACUUAGUCCUACCUCACCUUUGUGGAUGGCGACCACGGAUACCACUGUACAUGACGAUAGGAGUUAUACCCGUACUACCAGUCUACAUACCCAGUGUCGUUAUAGUCAUGGGUAGUAGUAUGGUGGUCGGGGUCUUAUGACGGUCAUUCGGUGUUAUGUUCAGAUUUUGACUGUUCGAUCGGGGUAGUUUCCUAUAAAGGAGAUGACAACGACUAGGCGACGUACGGCAUCGGUCACGAGGGUUUCGGUGACGUUUGUCACAACUACUCCCUUUUGUCGUCUUCGGAAGAUCACCGUUAGGAUGAAGUUGACUAAGUUUAGGAUUUUCGUUCCAAGUCAGCUUCUUAGUCUUAUGAGUUGGAGAAGGAGGAGACUACUCAAAUGGAUUGAGUGGCCACCGAAGUUACAUACGAUGAUUACCUUACAUGUUGUCGUUACGGAUACCACCGAAAACCAUACCUAGGGUCAAAAUACCCGGUCCUUACAUACCACCCACCUUAUUAGACAGCCUACCUUUUAUGUUCGGGGCUCCCUCCUGUCGCAUACCUAGCAUACCUAAAGGGUUACUUUUGAACCUACCAAACUUACUCAACUUCUCUCCUGGUGCCUCACCUGAGAUAUUAUUGGUUGUCCCGAAACCUGGACGACGACACUGUCGACAGUUUCGUGUCCUACAAAGACGAUGACUACCGAGAUUACGUCAACACGUCCUAGUCAUGUUGCCCAGACUGAAUCGACUGUGAAUACUUUUACGGUUUACGAAAUAAUAAUUCAGCAUGUCGCUCCUACUACAAGUGUUCUCGUAGUUCAUGUUACAAACCCGAUCGUGUGGAUUACCUUUAUUUUUCGAACUGUCACGAAUAGACCUUCGAUUUAGACAGUUAAGAGGACAUAAGGAAGAGAAGAGACAAUUGUGGUCACCCGUCAAACAACCAGAGCGGCUCUACCAACCGGUCCAACUAAAACUGUUCUGCCACCUUGUGACCGUCGUUCUGUUCACCUGACCAACGAAGGGACAGUUCACCGUGUAACAGUUCCUAUAAGGGUUGUUGAACAAUUUCGUAUAGUAAGAGCUCAUAUUACUUUUGUUUGGUCACUGUUUGUCGUCUCUAUGUGUCCUCCAGUUCGAGCUCGUUCCGGAAGUCCACAACUUCUAAAAGUUCCUAGUACAGAGGUUUUGUAGGUAGGACCUACUGAAGUCGAAAAUACUAUUGGCACUCUUCUAUUACGUUCUCUCCUUUAGUGUCGCCGUCGUUGUUGACUUCUUCUAGUGCUCAGGCUUCGACGACGGAUGACAACUGUUGUGACUUUUACUAAGGCCGUUACGCGUCCUUAGCGUCUUCGGACUUCAAUGGCCUCUCUUGUUUAGACACCACCUUCUGUUACACCUCCGCCGACGGCACUCACCGCAACGGGGCUUUCUACGAUUGGGGUGUCGGCGUUCGAACCGACAGCGCUUACCGACGACUAAAAAAACAGACAACUCAACACUCAUUCCACUGUACUGUCGAACCCUCAAAACCUCCUCCGACCGCGUCAAGUUGACAACCUCCGUUAGUCCCAAGACAACCCCAAGACAUCCACAAAAACGUCUUUCAAACUCCCUAUACCAAUCCAAAGAGAACUCUAAAGGGGGGACAUAAUAAUAAAGAGAUAGAACCUCAACUCAAGCCGACCAUCCUCUAUCUCUAGUAGUAAACAACUAGACCCCACCACCACACAACAGAAAAAAUAGAACAGCAGCCAUCUUUUACAUGGAUCCACACCACUAAACAUGACCAAAACGUUCUUCAUUGAACAGACAAAGUCUCAACAAAUAAAUAGAAUACAAAACGUAG
Molecule: ribosomal RNA, 2252 nt
Filed under: Triticum aestivum (bread wheat)
Lineage: Eukaryota; Viridiplantae; Streptophyta; Magnoliopsida; Poales; Poaceae
Description: partial small subunit ribosomal RNA
Source: RNAcentral